Molecule: non-coding RNA, 155 nt
Organism: Paenibacillus sp. Soil787
Lineage: Bacteria; Bacillati; Bacillota; Bacilli; Caryophanales; Paenibacillaceae
Source: Rfam
UAAAAAUGAAUAUGCAAACCGUAGACAGUAGGUGCCAACGUGCUUAAUUUCCUACCGAGGUGUUAUGAUAUAUAUAGCGAUUUCUUUGUACAUCAGGGAAAAAGUGAACACAUCAUGCCUUCGUAGCGUCUACGAAGGCAUUUCUUAUUUUAGAU